RNAcentral lists this ribosomal RNA (409 nucleotides) under uncultured bacterium. RNAcentral describes it as "bacterial SSU rRNA". It matches the Rfam family "Bacterial small subunit ribosomal RNA", at positions 29 to 440 of the family's 1533-position model. The record is from RNAcentral.
AUUGAACGCUGGCGGAAUGCUUUACACAUGCAAGUCGAGCGGCAGCGCGGGGGCAACCCUGGCGGCGAGCGGCGAACGGGUGAGUAACAUAUCGGAACGUACCCCGUCGUGGGGGAUAACACAGCGAAAGCUGUGCUAAUACCGCAUACGACCUGAGGGUGAAAGCGGGGGAUCGCAAGACCUCGCGCGAUGGGAGCGGCCGAUAUCGGAUUAGCUUGUUGGUGAGGUAAAGGCUCACCAAGGCGACGAUCCGUAGCUGGUCUGAGAGGACGACCAGCCACACUGGAACUGAGACACGGUCCAGACUCCUACGGGAGGCAGCAGUGGGGAAUUUUGGACAAUGGGGGCAACCCUGAUCCAGCCAUUCCGCGUGAGUGAAGAAGGCCUCGGUUGUAAGACGUCUUUCUAG